GAUUGGGAAACCCGCCCCUGUUCGCCCGCUGUUUUACUACAACACAGACUUUCGAUAUUCAUUGACGUUGAUGUCUGUCUGCGGAUACUGGGGGGCUUUGACGGCAUAAAACCCUUGCAGCAAACAUGUAACACGACAGAUCAUUAUUUACUAUUUCGGCAAAAAUUGCUUCUUGAAAUAUUCCUGAAGGCUGAUUGUGAGGAAGGAUAGCAUUGUUCACUGAAGCCCAAAGGAGAAGUAUUGUGGACUGGCGCCUGCAGGAUGCUAAUAUGAUUCUCCACCUCAGUGCCAGGGUACUGUUGUGUAUUUUCCAUUAUUUCCAUGCUCAAACCAACAAAACUCAGGCAAAUAGAGAUAGUUACUCAAUACCUGUUUGAUAAAGGGAUGAAUGUUCUGAAACAAUUGUGAUGACGCAGGGCAUGAUUUUACCAUUGUAUAAGUUACAUUUUAUGGGUACCCUUUUUGACUGUUAUAUUACAAGUGGACAGGGUGUUGCUAAACCCAAUUCAGUAUACAACAUAUGACAACAUAUAUUGUUGGAAAACUCCAGGUGGGGGACAUUGCUGCUGUACCCUUGAGCAAGGUACUUUACCUAGAUUGCUCUAGUAAAAACCCAACUGUAUAAAUGGGGAAUUGCAUGUAAAAAUAAUGUGAUAUCUUGUAACAAUUGUAAGUCACCCUGGAUAAGGGCGUCUGCUAAGAAAUAAAUAAAUAAUAAUAAUAAUAAUAAUAAUAAUAAUAAUAAUAAUAAUCCCCCAAUAACCAUUUUCUCCAUCACAGGUGGUUUUAUACCGCACUAGAAUUGUGUCCACUUCAGUUGAAGUGACCCAGUUGUCCAAAUCCUCUAGCUGAACAUUGGUUAUAGAAUUUUAAGUUCACCUUGUCUAUUUUUCAAGUAACGUCGAGUUAAAGAAGCUUUAGACUUUUUAUCCUCUGGUGUAAAGCGCCCCUGUUGCUUUGGUUUGUAAUAUAGUACAAUCACAUGGGGUACAGUUUGUUCUUAACACAUGCUAUCCUGCCUGUUGAAGCAAAUUGGGGCAUUGAGUUCUCAUCAUACCGGCUAGCCUCAGGCUCUUCUGUAAUGAGCAGUUCAAUACCUGGGAUUUACCUCUAUCUUAAGGAGAAUAAACAACCUCCAGAUAUACUCUAUGUGGCUGCAUCAGACUUGGAUAUUAUUUUGCAGUGGACUAAUCCCACUAUGUAUGCACAUCUACUGGAAGGCAAGAUACACAUGAGAUAAAUGCUGGGCACACUCAAGACCCACUCCUGACAAAACUAAAGAUUGUGCAUCCAUGAAAGUGGGGAGGAAUGUAAUGUAGAUACAGUGGGGGUACAUUAAAUAAAGUUACUUAAGAUUUACGUCACUGUACUAGCAACACUACUUUUUACGUCAGGUGUCUAGUUAAAACAGCUAUUUCCCUUAAAUUACCUUAUAAUGCUCUCCACAAAUUAGCAGCCGUUCAUUUCCUAAAAAUAUAAUAGAAUAUAGUUAUAGGAAUAAUCAGAUUUAUGUCAUUAUACAUAGUGCUUGGCUUUUAAAAAAAAAAAUUGUAGGCAAUGUAAAUGUUGGUCAGCUUGUUAUGGAGCAUAGCAUACCAAAACAACCAUUUCCCCACAAUGGGCAUAUGCAUGUGUGAUUCCUGAAAAAACUAAGGAUUGUGCCUUAGUGAAAGGGCGGUGACAUGCACUCUAUAGACAUCUACUGAAUAGAAUAUAACCUUAGAUCCACCAGAUUGAUAUCAUUGCAAAUGUUGCUGGGUUUUCAAUGGGGCUUGGGGUAACAAAAACAGCCAUUUCCCUUUAGUCUAACUGGCAUAUGCUACCUACAGAAUAAAGCAGGACAAUUUAUAAUUGUAUUAGUAUUUUAUUUAAACAAACAACCAAAUUAAUCCUGUGAGCUGCACAGCACUGGGGGGAGGAAAAACUACAUUUAACUGAAGGAAACCUCAGGGAGUCCACAGCUAGCAGCUACCCUCUCCUCCAGGGCUACCUAUUGGAGAUCUGGAAAGGUGCUGGCAAACUUAUUUUUGCUCGAUACACCUGCGGGGAAAAAAAAAUAGUGUUAGAUUUCUGAAAGAGUUAAUGGUAAAGAAAUUGAAUUAAAAAAUGCAAUUACAUCUCCUUUAAAGGAAAUAAAUUACAUUUUGACUUAACUAUUUACAUUGUAAGCAUAUUUUGCAUAAACAUGGUAUCUUAGGAUGCGAAAGGGUUAUGGUGAAGUUCAUUUUACGCAAUCUAUGUUACACUUACACGUUUGACUCAUCUUUCCAUAGAACAUUGUUCCAGAACUCUUCAGGAUCAUCCAGGUGCUUUUUGGCAAACUUGAGAUGAACAUUCAUGUUCUUCUUAGUGAGCAAUGGUUUCUGCCUUGCCACUCUGCCAUGAAUUCCAUUUUUGCCCAGUGUCUUUCUGAUGGUGGAGUCAUGAACACUGACCUUAGCCGAGGCGAGAGAGGCCUGCAGAUACCUGGAUGUUUUUCUAGGGUUCUUUGUGACUUCCUGGAUGAUUUUACGCCUUGCUCUUGGAGAGAUUUGGCAGGACGGUCACUCCUGGGAAGAUUCACUACUGUCCCAAACUUUCUCCAUUUGGACAAUAUGGCUGACUGUGGUUUGGUGGAGCCCUAGAGCCUUAGAAAUAGCUUUGUAACCCUUUCCAGACUGAUAGGCAUCAACAACUUUUUUCCGGAGGUCUUCAGGAAUUUCUUUUGUUCAUGGCAUGAUGUGCCUCUAGAACCUGUGUGCUGACAACUUCACUCUGAUGGUAAGGGCCAAAGUUAGUCAGAUUUAUAUUGGGCAGGGCUGGCCCAAAUCAGGCCUGGUUGUUAACCAAGGUACUCAAACAGCUGACCCUAAUUAUUCCUUUAAUUGGGUUGCGUUAACUAGGCGGGGCAAUAACUUGUGAAAAAUGUGCGAAAAUGCAGAAAAUCAGACGGGGCAAAUACUUUUUCACGGCACUAUAUAUAUAUAUAUAUAUAUAUAUAUAUAUAUAUAUAUAUAUAUAUAUAUAUGGAUUUAAAAAAUAAAGUGUUCAAUUUUUUAUCUUAUUCCAUCUACUCUGGGCUGAACGGAUAACGCUGGCAAACUCCUUCCCUGCUUGUUGGAUGCUGUUUUUCGAGAGGUUGUUCCCUGGUGCAAUAAGGCACACCAGGUCCGGCUCUUCAGGUAGGGUUUUGUUCAGCACUUCUUUACGGAGUGCAGCUGCACAAGCACCUGAAGUGCAGCUGUAUCCAAAGUGCAGGUCACCCUUGGGCAUCUGAACGUAACCAUCUACCAGGCUCCUCAGAUGCGAGUCUCCAAAAACCAUAACAAACUCAAAUAAAGGAUACAAAAUGGCCACAUCAUUUUAUUAUUUUAUUUUCUUAUAUAGGAAAUUAAUUGAUAGAUUAUGCUUGUUCUUUACAAACCUUUGAGCUGUUUCCUGCAUUCUCAGGGAAAGCUGCCUUGUGGCCUUGUGCUGUUUACCACUACCAUAUUACUGAUGAACAUCCAUAGCUAAUAAAGUAUAGCAGAAAACGUUAAUUCAUUAUUAGUAGUAUUAAAUAUAAUUAUUAUAAAUUAACUUAUUAUUAAUAUAAUCAUGAAAAGUAUUACUAGUUUAAAUAAUUAAAAAAUAUAUAUUUCAGGACGUUUUGAGCAAAAGCCCGUCUUCAGCUAUAUAGAAAAAAAAAUAAAGCUGUCUCUUUGAGCUAAUAUAUAUAUAUAUAUAUAUAUAUAUAUAUAUAUAUUAGCUCAAAGAGCCAGCUGCCCAACGUUUCGAUAUGUUGUACAUAUCUUUCUCAAGGGAGCCUGGAGGUAUUUAUAGGUUUUUGACGGCAUGACAACUACUUGUUAUUGUUUACAUUCAAAUUCAUGAUUUAUUCUUACAUGAUGUAAUGGUGUUCUAUAUAUUGUGACAUCAUUUUUACUUCUAUCUUUGAAUCUGUAUUAAUUCUAAUUAACACUACUUUAUAUAAACUUAUAUUUUUAUUAUAUCAUGCAAUGCUGGCUCUGAGGAUCAGUCUAGAUUUGGCCUCCCCAGCGCAUCAGCAUGCACAACUUUUGAAUGAAUUUUGUUUAUUUAUUUAAAUGUUAUAUAUUUAUUGAAGUUAAUUAGUUCAUUCUUUUCUGUUGAGUCCCGCUGGCAUAAUCGUGUUCAGUCUAUUUAUCCAUUUACUUUCUUUUAUUCUUCUAUAUGUCGCAUUGUCUAAUUUGAGCUGUUCUAAUACUACAAACUUUACAUCAUUUAUGUCAUGUCCCUGACUGGUGAAGUGCUGUACUAUUGGUUCAUUCAUUUUUUUAUUUCUAAUUAAUGAAAGGUGGUUCUGAAUUCUUUUAUAUAAAGUAGUUCCAGUCUCUCCAACAUAUUUGAUUUCAUCACAUUUUUCACAGGCUAUUCCAUAAACAACAUUACUAUUUUUACAGUAGGUAUUAGUUUUUAGUGGAUAUGUGGUGUUCUUAUGUUUAAUUAUAUUUUUACGUUUGUCUAUGUAUUUACACACUUUACAUCUACUAGUGCAUAUGUUCGUAGAACCUAUUUUGUUAAUUAUUCUUUUAUGUUUACUGUGAACUAAAAUAUCACCUAAAUUAGCUUCUCUUUUGAAUGCUACAACUGGGGCCUUAAGAAAUACUUUUUUUAAUUUUUCUGAAUUAUGUAGAAUCCGCAAGUGUUUCCAAACUAUCUUAGAAAUAUUGGGCAAAAGUUUAGAGUAAGUCAUUAUUAAUGGGACUCUUUUGACCUUUUUAUCUCUAUUUUUAUAAUCUAGUAGAUCAUCUCUUUUUAGUUUAUCCACUUUUCUUAACUCCGUCUCUAUAAUUCUUUCUUUGUAUCCUCUUUUUUUAAGAUUUGUUUUUAAUACAUUUCUUUGUUUUACAUAGUCACUUUCUUUUGAGCAUAUUCUUCGUAUUCUUAUUCCUAGACCCUUUGGGAUUGCCCUUUUAGAGUGUAUCGGAUGUGCAGAGGACAUGUGUAAAUACUGGUGCAUGUCAGUAGGUUUACAGAAGAGGUCAGUCUCAAUUGAACCUUCUUCAAGUUUUACUGUGGUAUCUAAAAAUUCUAUUCCUUUCCUUGUCCAUCGAAGGUCCACCUUAAUAUUACUGUGUAUUUCAUUUGCCAUUUUAUGAAACUGGAAAAGAGACUCUUUUCCAUGUGUCCAAACCCCAAAAAUAUCAUCUACAAACCGAAUGUUUUCUAAAGGUUCUCUUUCCGAUUUUAUAAGUAAUUGUUCUUCCCAUUUCCCCAUGUAUGUACUGGCAAAAUGCAUUCCUAAUUUAGAUCCUAUUGCUGUACCAUCGUUUUGUUUGUAAUUCUUAUCAACAAAUGUAAAAUAACUGUUUUCUAAAACUAUGUUGAUCAUGUUCAGUACCUCUGCUGUAGGUAUUGAUUUAUCUAGUCUAUUAUCUAGUGCUUUUUGACAAGCUUCUAAAGUUUCUUUACGAGGGACACUUGGUUACAAGGAUUUUACAUCCAUGCAAAAUAAAAUUGUAUUCUCUGGAAGGUUGUGUUUUAUUGAUUCAAGUCUUUUUAAAAAUUGUGCUGUAUCCUUAACAUAGCUUGGUAAUUUCUCAAUGUGCGACCUAAGUUGUUUUUCUGCUAUUUCAGCUAUUAUGUGUGUUGGAUUAUCAAUUGUACUGACUAUCAUUCACAUAGGGUGAUUUUCUUUGUGCAUUUUAGGAUUUCCUCUUGCUAGGCCUGUUCUUGCAUUAUGUGGCUGCAUGUAUUUUUUUAAUUCUUUUGAUAUAAUGCCUUUAUUGUAUAGUCUCUCCGCAAUUUCCUUAACCUCUUUUACCGAUUUAUUGAUCUUAUUGCUUUUAACUUCUUCAUAUGUAUAUGUAUUAUUUAAUUCACAUUCUACAGAUUUCAUAUAGUCAUCUGUGUUCAUUAUCACUAUUCCUGAGCCUUUAUCUGCUGGUCUUAUCAUUAUAUCAUCAUCAUUUAACAACUCAGUCAUAGCUUGUUCUUCACUAUUGGUUAAAUUAAGUUUACAUCUUUUCUUUAGUCCUACUAUUAUUUCUUGUUUAACUACUUCAAUAUACAUAUCUAACCAUUUAUCUCUUCCAUCCGGAGGAGUCCAUGUGCUUGUACUAUUAACCUUAAUCCCAUGGUCAUAAUUACCCUCUGAAUCCGAGAUAUUUUCAUUGAAAAAAUAUUCUGCUAAUCUCAUGCGUCUCUCCCACUCCUUUAAUUCAGUGGCCAGUUUAUCUUUAUCGAUGUAUCUUUUAGUCGGUAUAAACUUAAGUCCUUUACUCAGUACCGCUUUUUGGGAUGUGGUUAAAGUUUUACUUGAUAAAUUAAAUACUAUGUCUUCUGUCUUAUCUUUUGUGUAUUUGGUACCAUGUUUAUUUUUGGGUCUCCUAUCUUUCUGUUUUGAAUUCUCUGUCCUAUUCAUGUUUAACUCUCUAUUUUGCAUUUUAUUAUUUACUUUAACCUGGUUUAUUUUUACUGUUUUAGAUUUAUUUUGAUUAUCUUUCUUAAUUAUUCCACAGUAUUUAGAUUUUCUUCCGGUUUCAUUGUCUUUAAAUACAAGAACUGAGAAAUGGUUAUUGUUGUAUAAAAGAUUAAUUGGAUUGUUCUUAUUUUUAAUAUAUUCCAUUGUGCCUUCGUAUUUAAAACAGUCCUUAUUCUUUAAGUCUAUGUAUACGUGUAUGGGCCUAUUUAGGAGGUCUACAGCUGCCAUAACUUCUGCCUCUGUAGCCCAAGAAUCUAUACUCCCAUCACUUAAUUUCAUUUUUUCAAUAUGGGUCACUGAAUCGAUGUACAUUUCAUAUUGUUGUAUAUUGCUUUCCAUUACUUCUGUUAUAUCAUGUCUAAUUGUUCGAUGGUCAUUUUGUGAACCGUAUAGAACUACACCUAAACAUCUAAAGAAACAGUUCCCGUCCUUCUCUAUUUGAACUAUGUUGUAGCCGUCAUAACUCUUCUACUCGCAUUGCUCAAGCAUUCUAUUCGAAAGUGUUUCAGCAGUG
This is a long non-coding RNA of Acipenser ruthenus (sterlet), 6938 nucleotides long. RefSeq lists it as uncharacterized. The record is from RefSeq and is a predicted model, not a curated record. The transcript is spliced from 4 exons. NCBI's taxonomy places the organism in Eukaryota, Metazoa, Chordata, Actinopteri, Acipenseriformes, Acipenseridae.